RNAcentral lists this non-coding RNA (29 nucleotides) under Mus musculus (house mouse). The record is from RNAcentral. Lineage: Eukaryota; Metazoa; Chordata; Mammalia; Rodentia; Muridae.
UGAGUAUGGAUGGGCGUUGUGCAGCCUCU